Molecule: long non-coding RNA, 7048 nt
Organism: Xenopus laevis (African clawed frog)
Lineage: Eukaryota; Metazoa; Chordata; Amphibia; Anura; Pipidae
Exons: 2
Source: RefSeq, a predicted model, not a curated record
AGGAAUAAUGGGAAGAAAGGAGUUAAGGGGGAAAGUAUACUGUUAGCAUACAAUGCAAAAACAUUAGUCAUAAGGCGGUGGGGAAUCAUUAUUAUUACAUUUAUGUUGAUUUCUGGAUAUAUGAGUUACUGGUUGUCCUCUGGGAUAGUCCCUUCAUUAUUAAUGUAGGGCCUGGAAGAGCUGAGAGUCGUUUUCAUGAGCUAACCAAGGAAGCCAUAUCUUGUCAAAGGCCGCCAUAUCAUUUUUCAAGGUAUAAGUAAUCUUUUCGUUGGUGGCAAUGCCGAUUAUUUUUGCAUUUAGGGGACCCCAAUGGUAUUCCUGUUUUUUUUCCAGUUGGCUGCUAUAAUGAGCCUCGCCACCAUUAAGAUAAUCUGUGGGCUGAGUUUGUAUAUUUGUAUGGCUUUUUUCCCCAAUAACAAUACCAUAUGAAGAACUCUGUAUAGUAGGUUGACUACUGCAUCCCAAAAUUGAGAUACAGCCUUGCAGGUCCACCAUAUAUGUAACACAGUUCCUGGGUCUGGAAGACUCAAAGCAUUGUGGAUUGCACAUAGGAUAUAGUUUGUUCAGUCUUGUGGGGACUAGAUAAGUCCUAUGGAGUAACUUAAUAGACGUCUCCCUUAUGGUCACAUAAGUGCUCCCUUUGUGUGCUGUAAGCCUGCAUUGAGCCCAUUGUUGGGUUGAAAGUGUGGUAUUUAAGUCCUUCUCCCUGGGGAUUGUUGUGAAGGUUGGUUUAACAUUUUGUAAAGUGUGCUGAGUAUGCCUGGUUGAAGUGGACAUUGCCUACAGAUGGUCUCCAAGGCUGUGGACUUCAUGCUGUUGUCUUUGGCAAGCCUUACUUGUUGUUGCGCGAAGUGGGCCAACUGUGUUGUCCGAAAUACUUCUUGUAUAAGGGGGGUCGUAGAGGUCCCAUAGUUGUUGAGGCAUUAAAGGUUUCCCAUGUCUAGUUAAUGACUAAAGUGUGGUUAGUCCUUUGGUGCUCCACCAAGAUAAUGCUUGGUUGUUUGCCAGGGGGGUUAAGGGUGAUGGGGUGGCUAUUAGGCCAAAUCUCCUCUGCAAUGCAUACCACAUAUGUAGCAUUUCCAUAGUUAUUGGAGAAGCAUUUGAUAUUUUGUGAUAUGGUAUCUUUGUUGAGAUAAAUAUGGGUAUAAUAAGUCAUACUCCAUCUGGACCCAUAAUGGGGCUAAGGGCCCUGCAUGUAGUGGGGCUAACUGCACUAGGCGAGCCACCAGUAGUAUUUGACAAGGUGGGGUACUGAUAGGCCUCCAUUGGCUUUAUGUGAGAUCAUUGUUUGUUUGGAUAUUCUUGGAUGUUUAUUUUGCCAAAUAAAUGUGUUAAUCUUGGAUUGUAACAUGUAUAAGUCCUGUAAUGGUACUUUAAUCAGUAACAUUCUAAACAAAUAGAGGAUUUUAGGUAAAAGUACCAUUUUGAUGCAGUGGAUCCUGCCGACCCAAGAGAUCCUGUGUCUAUUCCAUUUUUGUAAAUCCUGCGUCAAGGACUUGAACAUAAGUUAGAAAUUGGCUUUAUAUAGAGCAGGUAGUAGACUAGUUAUUUUUAACUCCCAAAUAUUGUAAAUAUUCUGACUGUGAAUAAAUCUGAUGGCAGGCACUCAAAUAAAGGCAAUCUUCCAAUGAAUUGUAGAAAUCAAGUAGAAAAGAUUUAUUGUGUCCUCUGCCUUACGCGUUUCAUAGGCUCGUGAUUAAGUGUUUGUAACAAAUUUGCCUUUAUUUGAGUGCCUGUCAUCAGAUGUAUUCACGGUUGUCCGCUCCCCAAGCUGAGGGCUCAGGGCGGUGCACCUGGGCCACUUCCUAUAUGUGGUGAGUAAAUACUUUACUCAUGAAAAAACCCUCUUCAGUCUUAUUAAAAUAUUCUGACUGUAUCUUGAAACCAAAAUUAAGUUCCAGUAACUUAAUAGCAUGUUUCGGCAGGUUACAGGGCAGCAGCUCAGAUUUAUCUGGGUUUAUAUUUAAACCAGAAACUCUAACAAAUUCUGUUAAAGAAUUCAUCAAGUUGGGUAAUGGUAGUAUGUCUUUAGUGAAUUCAAAAAGUUUGGGCCUAUCCCUAUUGUUUCUAAUAACGUGAAGAGGUAUUGCCAGUUUAAUGUGUUGAUUGCCUUUUCAAUAUCGAGCACUAAUAGGCAAAGGGGGGUUUAAAUUUAUUUGCAUGAGCUAUAAUGUUAAGGAUCUUUCGUAUAUUAUCAGGGGCCUGUCGGGUGGGGAUAAAGCCGAUCUGGUCUUUAUGGAUAACUGUAUUUAAUACUUUGUUUAAUCGGUUUGCUAGGAUAGUUGCUAAUAUUUUUAUAUCCAGAUUUAAGAGUGAUAUUGGCCUAUAGUUUUUGGGGGAUAAAUGGUCCUUAUUCGGUUUUGGUAUCACUGUCACUUUAGCUUCAUUAAUUUCUGGGGGUAGGGGUUGGCCAGUUGUGAUGUGUUGGAAAAGUUUUUGUAAAUGUGGGAUAAAUUGAGUUUGAAAUUCUUUAUAGAAAAGGGAAGAGAAUCCAUCAGGACCUGGGGCUUUGUUUGAUUUCAAAUGUUUAUCUUCUUCUAGUACAGAUUUCAUCUUUUGUGUCAAAGGCGUCGGGGCAUGUUUCUUAAUAUACAUGUGUAAAGCUUUAUUGUCUAAUUGGUGUGUGGAGUCAUAUAACUGUUGAUAAUUAGUCUGGAAAGUUGAAGCAAUAGCAUCUGGAUCAGAGGUAAUGCGACCAUCUGGUUGCCUAAUUUUGUGGAUGGAGUUUUGCUUGUUAUGGGCCUUUAAUAUAUUUUCCAGCAUUCUAUCAGGUUCAUUAGCAUAUAGAUAAAAUUUAUGGUUGGUCUUGCAAAUGGACUGUUAGGCGGUAUAUAUUUGGCAUGCUUUUAUUUUUUGCUUAGUUUCUUCUAUAAUCCAUCUAGUUCUGGGGUUAGAGUGGGAUCUAUAAGACUUUUCGAGGGUAUCAAGGAGGGUCAAUGUUUGUAAGCUUUCAUGCUUUUUUUUAGCUGCAUAUUGGAUCAGACAUCCCCUGAUAUACGCCUUGUGUGCUACCCAUACCCAAGCUGGAGAUGAUUCAGGUGUUGAGUUCUCUUUCAUAAAUUGCUUUAAUUCUUUUGUUAUUUGAUUGAUGCAUUCAGGAUCAGCUAAUGAACUCUCGUUUAAUCUCCAAUUUGGUCGUAUUGUAGAGGAGGUCUGCAAAUCCAGUAUUGUCAACAAAAGAUCAUUAUCUGACCAAGCACAGUGGAGUAUUUUGGAAUCUAUUAUCCUAGAGGCAUCUUGAUUGUUGAUUAAAAUAUAAUCUAUCCUGGAUUAACUAUGGUGUACAUGCGAAUAGUGUGUAUAUCCCCCUUUGUUAUCAUUAGCCUCUCUCCAUGAGUCCGUCAUGCCAUGUGUGUGCAGGAGACUCUCAACCUGUUUUGUAAUUUUUUUGUAUUUUGUUGUAUCAAUCUCUGAGGUCCUAUCUAAGGCAUAGUUAAAAGAAAAAUUAAAGACUCCUGCCCACACAAUUCUCGCUUUUGGGAGGGUUGCUAGUUUACUCAAAAUGUUUUAAAAGACGGGGAGCGGUGAAUCAUUAGGAGCAUAAGUGGAGACAAUAGUAUAGGGUGUGCCGUAUAGUGUUCCCAAAAGUAUGAUAUAUUGACCGAGGAUGGUCUUUGUGAUGUUAAAUGGAAACUUGUUGUGAAGAAAUAUGGCUAAUCAUGCUUACGUGUUGUAUAGGAGAGAAAGAACCUGGAAAAGUUUUUGUGGUAGAAUUUAGGGAAGGAAGUCAAAGUAAAGUGCGUUUCCUGUACACAUAAUAUAUCUGGUGAUAGCUGCCUGCCGUUUCGUUGGGGAGUUGAGACCCUGUGUGUUCUGUGAUAUAAUUUUAAUUGACAUUUAUAAACUUAAGAGUUAUUCCAAUAUUGCUAUAGAUAACUUUAAAAAUCUGUCUGGCAUUGCUAUAAUUGUUUAACAUUUUAAGGGUCCCAAGUCUCCACCUUAAUCCUCUCCAUUCCCAACAUUGUAUAUGCAUUAGUACAAAAUACAUGAUCCCCACCGCACAAAAACAAAGUAAUAGUAAAGCAUAAAAACAAAGUAAUAAAUAAUGAAAAGAGUAUAAACAUGAAUAUUAACUUCAAAAAAUAAGACGUAGUGUGUAAACACUUCAGACGAGCACUGUGACUUCACUGGUAACCUCCUGGCUCGGAGGGGGAGUAGAAGAAAGGUGCUCUGUGGGGGGGGGGCAGUAUCCCGCAUCCCCAGGUUCAGAUGGUGUUGAGGGGGAACAUAGUCCAAAAAUGUUAUUACUGAAGUGGACAUUAGGCAUUUUUAUGCCAGGGUUGGGUGGAUAGGUUUGCUUACCCUCACCCCUGCAUGAUUACUGUAUCCGUCUUGGCUUCCUAGCUGUAUAUUGUGGGGCAGCGUGUCACUGCUUAAUUCCCUAGCCGCUUGUAGAGCUAGGUCUCUCAUUUCCACAUGAUGCCGUUUCAGUACUAUGUCUCUUGGAAUGUUUGGAUUGCGUGGGCGGCCUAAGGCCCUGUGUAUAUGCUCAAUAUAGAGUUGUUUCUCUGAAGGUCGGGGAGUAAUUGUUGCAGCACCCCUGCCAUUAAUUGUGUUAUGUCUUGUAAUAUCUCAUAUCUCAUAUCCCAUAACUAAGUGAGGUAAAGCAUCGACUUGAUUGGCUGGGACUGUCUUUUGGGUGUGGCUAUCCUGGGAAAAGUGUAGUAUGCUUGUUUGAAUGGUCUUCCUUAUGUGUAUAUAAAGAGCAUUGUAAAUCCCUUGUUAGUUAGUCACUUUCAACUCCCUUCCAUUGCAUCCUUCCCUAUCCCUUUCUACCUCCCUCCAUGUUAGUUAGUUCCCUUUUUAUGUAAUACCUUUUAGUUCCUUUGUAAAUAAAUACCACUUAUUUAAAGAUCACUCUGCCUCAAGUCAUUAGCCUGGCACCUCAAAAUAGAGCAGAUCCAACAUAUUGGCACCCCAGAUGGGACGAUUUCAACUAAACCCAUCAUCGUAAGGAAAAGGAAUCUGCUUGGCUGAGAAGAUUUGAGAAGCCUGAGACUGACGCGUUAAAGGUCUGACCAGAAAAGAAAGCCUGGAGCCUAACACAGAGUACUAGUGGAAGAACGAUUGUCCAUUUAUCCUGUAAAAUGAAGAAGAUACUGUGAUUUUAAAAUUGAUUUUUGUUUCAACAGGUUGUAGAUUUGUUUUAGCACCUGAUGACUUUGUGUCUUACACUAAAUAACCCUGAUUAACUGGAUAACUGUUUUUAAAACCACGUGGUACAAUCAAUGAGCUCAAUAGUAAAAUAAUUGUUUGCAAACAAUUUAAAAAACAAUAUUUAAACUCAAUAACAUCUCUUCACAAUACUGGUGUCCUUGGUAUAUUAUUAACUUUAUUGUCCACAGGUAUUUGUUUUUGUUCAUUUAUUUGUGUUGUUAAAUGUAAAUGUGUUUAUCUUUGUUUUACAUGUUGUCUCUGUUUAGUGUUUUGUGUUAGUUUGUAUACAGUAUUAGUACCUUCAUUGUUUUAUCAAAACACUGCUUAAAAUAGCAGACCGUGUAAUUUUGAAUUUAAUGGUACCUACGUUUUUCGGUACCAAAUGGGGGGUGAUCAUAGUUUUUCUUUCCUAAAGCCCAUCAAAAGAUGCAGUAGAUACAUGAAAAUGUUUUUACAAUUUUUUUAUUGUUAUUUUUGUUUUUUUGCAGCUUUCAUUUUAUAUCAUUUUAUAUUAUUUUUUUAACUGAAUGUACUGAACAGAUAAUAAUGCUAAGCAUAUGGUCCUGCUCUUGCUCUUUUAUUUCCAGGAUCCAUGAAACUACAUAGAAAACAAAAUGUGGGCCCUGGAUCAACUGAGUUUGGUUAUGUUUUGAAGGGCAAAUGUGUUUAGAACUUUUAAAUUUUAUUAAGACAGGUUUCAGAACAGCAUUACUCACACAUUGUUCAGGUUAAAUGGAAUACAUAGGGCACAACUUUCUUCUUAGAAUAAGUAUGUUUAUGUGUAUAUAUAUAUAUAGCAAUAUAAGUAUGUUAUUUAUGUUUUAGUUAAUGAUGUGUUUCGUUGGUUAUACAUAGUGCAUUUGCAUAUAAAGUUAGAAGGCAUUAUGCAGAUAAAAAUAACAUUAAUUUAAGAAUAUGCAGACUAGCAAACAAAUGUCUGUAUUAUACAGAGUUUAAUUUGGUGUUAUGCUACAUGGAAUGUACAUGUAUAUAUAAGGUGCAGUGUUUGGUGGUAUUGACAACCUAUGUUAUUGCCUUGUAUCUUAUCAUGUGUGAAUGAGAGUGAAUGGUGCAAUGUUGUCUGUUCCCUGCCCAAGGAUGUUACACCGAUAUAGCCACAAGUCCGAAGAGGUUCUUCCAAUGCUUUCAUGGUGUGUCCUUCAGACACAAAUGGGGGAAUGUAAUAUCUCAUAUCUCAUAUCCCAUAACUAAGUGAGGUAAAGAAUUAACAGUGACUCUGGGCUCAGGGCAGUGUACACUAUAAACACAGACGCAAAGACUGACAGAACAAAGACUAUCCUGUCGUAAAAGGUGAUUGCCUUCAUAUCUAUCUCCUAACACUGUUGUAUAAAUGAGGAACAGCUAUCAUGGACAAAGAGAGGAGUCCAUAGACCCGGCCUCGGGUGAGGAAACAACAAAGUCAAUGAAUGGCAUGGGAGGAUCCCAACAACAAAGGAUGAAAGGAUAUGUGUUUACACCCUCAAGGUGUCAGAACAGGUUUCAGACCUUGGGAACAAAUGUCAGAUAUGGAAGUGACUGUCUGUGCAACACUGCCACCCACAGGACAUCUUAAACAUCAUUAGUUGAUCUACACUGCCAUCUACAGGACGCUACUAACUUGGAGGUUUCCAUGGCUCAUCAUAUGACAUCGACUUGAUUGGCUGGGACUGUCUUUUGGGUGUGGCUAUCCUGGGAAAAGUGUAGUAUGCUUGUUUGAAUGGUCUUCCUUAUGUGUAUAUAAAGAGCAUUGUAAAUCCCUUGUUAGUUAGUCACUUUCAACUCCCUUCCAUUGCAUCCUUCCCUAUCCCUUUCUACCUCCCUCCAUGUUAGUUAGUUCCCUUUUUAUGUAAUACCUUUUAGUUCCUUUGUAAAUAAAUACCACUUAUUUAAA